RNAcentral lists this ribosomal RNA (502 nucleotides) under uncultured bacterium. Its description in RNAcentral is "bacterial SSU rRNA". It matches the Rfam family "Bacterial small subunit ribosomal RNA", at positions 29 to 524 of the family's 1533-position model. The record is from RNAcentral.
AUUGAACGCUGGCGGCAUGCCUUACACAUGCAAGUCGAACGGCAGCACGGGGGCAACCCUGGUGGCGAGUGGCGGACGGGUGAGUAAUGCAUCGGAACGUGCCCUGAAGUGGGGGAUAACGCAGCGAAAGCUACGCUAAUACCGCAUAUUCUGUGAGCAGGAAAGCAGGGGAUCGCAAGACCUUGCGCUUUGGGAGCGGCCGAUGUCGGAUUAGCUAGUUGGUGGGGUAAAGGCCUACCAAGGCGACGAUCCGUAGCGGGUCUGAGAGGAUGAUCCGCCACACUGGGACUGAGACACGGCCCAGACUCCUACGGGAGGCAGCAGUGGGGAAUUUUGGACAAUGGGCGGAAGCCUGAUCCAGCCAUGCCGCGUGAGUGAAGAAGGCCUCCGGGGUUGUAAAGCUCUUUCGGCGGGGAAGAAAUUGCUUGGGUUAAUACCCUGAGUAGAUGACGGUACCCGCAUAAGAAGCACCGGCUAACUACGUGCCAGCAGCCGCGGUAAU